CAGAGGGAGGAGGUUGGGAUG
This 21-nucleotide microRNA is filed under the name Sarcophilus harrisii (Tasmanian devil). RNAcentral's name for it is "Sha-Mir-12380_3p* (star (passenger))". RNAcentral also lists the same sequence under 2 other names. Lineage: Eukaryota; Metazoa; Chordata; Mammalia; Dasyuromorphia; Dasyuridae. The record is from RNAcentral.